GGAGACGUAUCGAAGCGGUCAUAACGGGGCUGACUCGAAAUCAGUUUGCCCGAAAGGGCACGUGGGUUCGAAUCCCACCGUCUCCGCCA
Molecule: transfer RNA, 89 nt
Filed under: Bacillota bacterium
Lineage: Bacteria; Bacillati; Bacillota
Description: Firmicutes bacterium (gut metagenome) tRNA-Ser
Rfam family: tRNA
About the family: Transfer RNA (tRNA) molecules are approximately 80 nucleotides in length.
Source: RNAcentral